GAGCAUGCGGUUCAUACCCGCAGCGUCACUGGUUCGAAUCCAGUCGCCGCUACCA
RNAcentral lists this transfer RNA (55 nucleotides) under Bacillota bacterium. RNAcentral describes it as "tRNA-Ser". It matches the Rfam family "tRNA", at positions 21 to 71 of the family's 71-position model. From Rfam's summary of the family: Transfer RNA (tRNA) molecules are approximately 80 nucleotides in length. Their secondary structure includes four short double-helical elements and three loops (D, anti-codon, and T loops). The record is from RNAcentral. Lineage: Bacteria; Bacillati; Bacillota.